GACGAACGCUGGCGGCGUGCUUAACACAUGCAAGUCGAACGGAAAGGCCCUGCUUUUGUGGGGUGCUCGAGUGGCGAACGGGUGAGUAACACGUGAGUAACCUGCCCUUGACUUUGGGAUAACUUCAGGAAACUGGGGCUAAUACCGGAUAGGAGCUCCUGCUGCAUGGUGGGGGUUGGAAAGUUUCGGCGGUUGGGGAUGGUCUCGCGGCUUAUCAGCUUGUUGGUGGGGUAGUGGCUUACCAAGGCUGUGACGGGUAGCCGGCCUGAGAGGGUGACCGGCCACAUGGGGACUGCGAGACGGCCCAGAAUGCUACGGGAGGCAGCAGUGGGGAAUAUUGCGGAACGGGGGGAAGCCUGAUGCAGCAACGCCGCGUGCGGGAUGCCGGCCUUCGGGUUGUAAACCGCUUUCGCCGGUGACGAAGCGUGAGUGACGGUAAUGGGUAAAGAAGCACCGGCUAACUACGUG
RNAcentral lists this ribosomal RNA (468 nucleotides) under uncultured bacterium. RNAcentral's name for it is "partial 16S ribosomal RNA". It matches the Rfam family "Bacterial small subunit ribosomal RNA", at positions 28 to 507 of the family's 1533-position model. The record is from RNAcentral.